RNAcentral lists this ribosomal RNA (247 nucleotides) under uncultured Bacillota bacterium. Its description in RNAcentral is "uncultured Firmicutes bacterium partial 16S ribosomal RNA". It matches the Rfam family "Bacterial small subunit ribosomal RNA", at positions 796 to 1041 of the family's 1533-position model. Lineage: Bacteria; Bacillati; Bacillota. The record is from RNAcentral.
CACGCCGUAAACGAUGAAUACUAGGUGUAGGGGGUAUCGACCCCCCCUGUGCCGCAGCUAACGCAAUAAGUAUUCCACCUGGGGAGUACGGCCGCAAGGUUGAAACUCAAAGGAAUUGACGGGGGCCCGCACAAGCAGUGGAGUAUGUGGUUUAAUUCGACGCAACGCGAAGAACCUUACCAGGGCUUGACAUCCUCUGACGACGGAAGAGAUUUCGUUUUCCCUUCGGGGACAGAGAGACAGGUGG